RNAcentral lists this long non-coding RNA (418 nucleotides) under Homo sapiens (human). Its description in RNAcentral is "non-protein coding lnc-DHRS7B-1:3". The record is from RNAcentral. Lineage: Eukaryota; Metazoa; Chordata; Mammalia; Primates; Hominidae.
GCAGUGAGCAGAGAUUGCGCCACUGCACUCCAGCCUGGGGGACAGAGCGAGACUCCGUCUGAAAAAAAAAAAAAAUUCAUUAACAGUACAUUUAAAAUUUCUGUUACUGGAGAUUGUAUUUCUCAUUCCAUCCAUUAAUGUGCAGCUUCAAUGUUUUCCCCCAGAUAUGCAAUUUCACUUACAGGAUCUUGUUCUUCAGUGACAUGUCAUAAGAGUUAAUAAUUCCACAAGCCACCCUGCACUGCUGUGAUCCUAACAAUAUUGAAAGAGUCUUGCUCUGUCGCCCAGGCUGGAGUGAGGAAGCCCUAAUAUAUAAUCUUCAGUCAACUGUUAAUCUGGAAGCCUCACCACAUUGCUUUUUGGAUUAGCAGAAUGCCAUCCUGGGGAAUCCCAGCAGAAAGGAAGAAAGGAGCACUGU